RNAcentral lists this ribosomal RNA (429 nucleotides) under Acidobacteriota bacterium. RNAcentral describes it as "Acidobacteria bacterium partial 16S ribosomal RNA". It matches the Rfam family "Bacterial small subunit ribosomal RNA", at positions 355 to 776 of the family's 1533-position model. The record is from RNAcentral. Lineage: Bacteria; Pseudomonadati; Acidobacteriota.
UGGGGAAUUUUGGACAAUGGGGGAAACCCUGAUCCAGCCAUCCCGCGUGUGCGAUGAAGGCCUUCGGGUUGUAAAGCACUUUUGGCAGGAAAGAAACGUCAUGGGUUAAUACCCCGUGAAACUGACGGUACCUGCAGAAUAAGCACCGGCUAACUACGUGCCAGCAGCCGCGGUAAUACGUAGGGUGCAAGCGUUAAUCGGAAUUACUGGGCGUAAAGCGUGCGCAGGCGGUUCGGAAAGAAAGAUGUGAAAUCCCAGAGCUCAACUUUGGAACUGCAUUUUUAGCUACCGGGCUAGAGUGUGUCAGAGGGAGGUGGAAUUCCGCGUGUAGCAGUGAAAUGCGUGGAUAUGCGGAGGAACACCGAUGGCGAAGGCAGCCUCCUGGGAUAACACUGACGCUCAUGCACGAAAGCGUGGGGAGCAAACAGG